GAUUUCCCAUAGCGUCAAGCUAGUAAGAUCCCUGAAAGAUGAUCAGGUUGAUAGGUCAGAGGUGGAAGCAUGGCGACAUGUGGAGCUGACUGAUACUAAUCGAUCGAGGACUUAACCAA
This 119-nucleotide ribosomal RNA is filed under the name Cytobacillus oceanisediminis. RNAcentral describes it as "partial 23S ribosomal RNA". It matches the Rfam family "Bacterial large subunit ribosomal RNA", at positions 2808 to 2925 of the family's 2925-position model. Lineage: Bacteria; Bacillati; Bacillota; Bacilli; Caryophanales; Bacillaceae. The record is from RNAcentral.